CCUACGGGUGGCAGCAGUAGGGAAUUUUCGUCAAUGGGCGCAAGCCUGAUCGAGCGAUGCCGCGUGAGUGAAGAAGGCCUUCGGGUCGUAAAGCUCUGUUGCGGGGGAAAAAAGGCAGCAUCAGGAAAUGGGUGCUGACUGAUGGUGCCCCGCCAGAAAGUCACGGCUAACUACGUGCCAGCAGCUGCGGUAAUUCGUAGGUGGCGAGCGUUAUCCGGAAGGGUUGGGCGUAACGGGUGCGCAGGCGGUCCUGCAAGUCUGGAGUGAAACGCAGGGGCUCAACCCAUGCAUGGCUUUGGAAACUGGGGGACUGGAGAGCAGGAGAGGGCGGUGGAACUCCAGGUGUAGCGGUAAAAUGCGUAGAUAUAAGGAGGAACACCAGUGGCGAAGGCGGCCGCCUGGCCUGUAGCUGACGCUGAGGCACGAAAGCGUGGGGAGCAAACAGGAUUAGAUACCCUAGUAGUC
This 465-nucleotide ribosomal RNA is filed under the name uncultured bacterium. RNAcentral describes it as "partial 16S ribosomal RNA". It matches the Rfam family "Bacterial small subunit ribosomal RNA", at positions 338 to 795 of the family's 1533-position model. The record is from RNAcentral.